Carassius gibelio (silver crucian carp) is the source of this 1426-nucleotide long non-coding RNA. RefSeq lists it as uncharacterized. Lineage: Eukaryota; Metazoa; Chordata; Actinopteri; Cypriniformes; Cyprinidae. The transcript has 3 exons. The record is from RefSeq and is a predicted model, not a curated record.
UGCUUUCAGUGGGAAACUUUUGGCGUCAGAAUUCGACACGAGGACAUGAGAUGUUUAUCGCUAUGAAAUCACGUUCAAGAAGUCUCAUUCAGCACACAUCGCGCGAUACUUGCUAUCAGUUCCACAGUUUGGCUGAAAAGACGUAAAGGCAGUCAGCCCAGUGGUGUUUCUGGAGAGGGAUUCCUUCAGAAAUGGAGAAGACAGAAAGCUGCGGAGGCAGAUAUUUGCAGCAGAUUGUUUGAGGAUAACGCUGUAGCUCCAUCAUGCACAAGGACUCACCUCGUUAACUCUUUAUCCCCCACACACACAGAUAUGGUCCCUGGAUCAGUGAUUAGACUUUGCAGUGGUUUGAUUUUUGCAGAAGAUGUAACUUUGUUUUAUUUAUAAGCUCAUAAUGAAUACAUUACAGAACCAGUGAUGAAAACAAUAGUUAAAAAUAGUAUUUUUCGUAUUGAUAAAGCAUUUUGUUCUCUUUUUCAAGCUUCAUACAGUGAACUUUUUAGACUUUAAUUAAGAGUUUUAGUAAAGGAGAUAUUCAUACACAGUCAUCCCCUAGCUCCAGUCAUGAAGUGAAUUCAUGAUGUUAUGUCAAAGCUAGCAGGUGUUUGUUUUCCUGAACACUUUCUCUGUCUUCCAUUGUUCAGACAAUCAGUGUUUAUUUGAUGCUGUGCUGAUUGAGUUUUAUAGAUGAUAUUGCACACUUGACAUGCAUGUCUUCAUGGUGUUUUUUUUUGUGAGUUUGAAACAUUUACAUUGUGUUGUAUAACAUUUUGGUCAAUUUAAUUUUUUUAAUAAAAUUGAUCUUUUUCCAGUGUUCUCUGAAAGACAUACUGUAUUUACUGUUUUGUUUUUUAAUAAAAGCAUUUUCAUUUGCAUACUGAAAAUAGUUAAUGUUUACAACAUAACUGCCUUUUUAUUCUUUAUGGUGGCAAAAACGAGCUUGGUGACAGAGGAUGCAGUGUAGUAAUUUGGGCAUGUUGUCUUUAAAUGAGUUUGACAUAUCAAUAAAUAAUGGAAGAUCCUUACAAAAAUAUGCAUGUUUAUUAUGCUUUAUGUAUUUAUUUGUUCAUUCAUUCAUUCAUUCAUUUAUAAUUUCUGUUUUUAUUCCUAGGGUUCAAAUGGUAGAGAAUGGUAAAUCACAGAAACACAAAUGUGAACAAUUUUAACUUUAAAACACAAUGUAAUAUACAAUGUAAAUUUUAGAAGCACGUCAUUUGAUUAGUAAAUAUAUUUGUCUUUGGUCAAAAAAAAAAAAAAAUACAAAUCUUAAAAAUGUGUCUUAUAUUUAAUGAGAGGAAUCUAUCUGUUGGAUACAACUGCGACUGCUGGGCAUGUGCACAUCAAUAUUGCCCAAUGUUUGUCAAGCUGAACAACGGAGGAAGGUGAAGACGUUAAUAAAACAGUAUCUUAUAAGUAGCAAGCUUAA